Long non-coding RNA from Zonotrichia leucophrys gambelii, 114 nucleotides. RefSeq lists it as uncharacterized. NCBI's taxonomy places the organism in Eukaryota, Metazoa, Chordata, Aves, Passeriformes, Passerellidae. The record is from RefSeq and is a predicted model, not a curated record. The transcript is spliced from 3 exons.
GUGACAAUGACACACAGGUGACAGUGACACACAGGUGACACACAGGUGACAAUGACAAUGACACACAGGUGACAAUGACACACAGGUGACAGUGACACACAGGUGACAGUGACA